This 157-nucleotide ribosomal RNA is filed under the name Fusarium oxysporum. RNAcentral describes it as "5.8S ribosomal RNA". It matches the Rfam family "5.8S ribosomal RNA". Rfam says of the family: 5.8S ribosomal RNA (5.8S rRNA) is a component of the large subunit of the eukaryotic ribosome. It is transcribed by RNA polymerase I as part of the 45S precursor that also contains 18S and 28S rRNA. Lineage: Eukaryota; Fungi; Ascomycota; Sordariomycetes; Hypocreales; Nectriaceae. The record is from RNAcentral. RNAcentral also lists the same sequence under 10 other names.
ACUUUCAACAACGGAUCUCUUGGUUCUGGCAUCGAUGAAGAACGCAGCAAAAUGCGAUAAGUAAUGUGAAUUGCAGAAUUCAGUGAAUCAUCGAAUCUUUGAACGCACAUUGCGCCCGCCAGUAUUCUGGCGGGCAUGCCUGUUCGAGCGUCAUUUC